Molecule: ribosomal RNA, 503 nt
Filed under: uncultured bacterium
Lineage: Bacteria
Description: bacterial SSU rRNA
Rfam family: Bacterial small subunit ribosomal RNA
Source: RNAcentral
AGAGCGAACGUUAGCGGCGGGCCUAACACAUGCAAGUCGAACGCGAAAGGUCUUCGGACUGAGUAGAGUGGCGCACGGGUGAGUAACACGUAGGUAAUCUACCCUUUGGCGGGGGAUAACGUUCCGAAAGGAGCGCUAAUACCGCAUAAGACCACGGAGUCUCCGGACGCUGUGGGAAAAGGUGGCCUCUUCUUGAAAGCUACCACCGAAGGAUGAGCCUGCGUCCCAUCAGCUAGUUGGUAAGGUAAUGGCUUACCAAGGCGAAGACGGGUAGCUGGUUUGAGAGAAUGAUCAGCCACACUGGCACUGGAACACGGGCCAGACUCCUACGGGAGGCAGCAGUGAGGAAUAUUGGGCGAUGGGCGAAAGCCUGACCCAGCCACGCCGCGUGAGUGAUGAAGGCCCUCGGGUCGUAAAGCUCUGUGGAGAGGGACGAAAACCCUGGUUUCAAAUAGGCUCCAGGCUUGACGGUACCUCUUUAGCAAGCACCGGCUAACUCUGUG